GAGCCCUAGAACAUCCACGGUAAUUCGC
This 28-nucleotide small RNA is filed under the name Bombyx mori (domestic silkworm). RNAcentral describes it as "ovarian small RNA-5139". The record is from RNAcentral. Lineage: Eukaryota; Metazoa; Arthropoda; Insecta; Lepidoptera; Bombycidae.